CAACAGCACGAAAUCAAUCAAUUUAUCUUUUCCAAAAAAUUAACUUUAUUUAAAUGUGCAAAAUACCUCCCACAACAUCAUCAACUGCUCCAGCUGCAUCACUUAAUGACUUUAGCUCUCCAAGCUUUUCACUCAAGGUACCAACAGUUUCAAGUGCUUGAUCGACCGGAGUGAUAGCGGGAAUUAGUGACCCAAUAGUUCCAAGUGCAUCCGUCAGUGAACAAUUAGCAAUUACAGAAUUGACCAAAGUUGGAACGUCAGAUACUAGGUACGACAUAAUACCGAAGGGCGCAGGAAACAAACUUCUAUCGAAAGUUACGGGAUCGACUUCGUUUUCGGUUUUGCAAACAUUGUAGACGUAGCCUGGAAGUUUUGUGCAUAUCUGAGCAGAUGAACAGUCAGAGUCCAUCGAACAGAAA
Molecule: long non-coding RNA, 419 nt
Organism: Bradysia coprophila
Lineage: Eukaryota; Metazoa; Arthropoda; Insecta; Diptera; Sciaridae
Source: RefSeq, a predicted model, not a curated record